AUUGAACGCUGGCGGCAUGCUUUACACAUGCAAGUCGAACGGUAACAGGGUGCUUGCACCGCUGACGAGUGGCGAACGGGUGAGUAAUGCGUCGGAACGUGCCGAGUAGUGGGGGAUAACGCAGCGAAAGUUGUGCUAAUACCGCAUACGUACUGAGGUAGAAAGUGGGGGACCUUCGGGCCUCACGCUAUUCGAGCGGCCGACGUCUGAUUAGCUAGUAGGUGAGGUAAAGGCUCACCUAGGCGACGAUCAGUAGCGGGUCUGAGAGGAUGAUCAGCCACACGGGGACUGAGAAACGGCACAGAAUGCUACGGGAGGCAGCAGUGGGGAAUUUUGGACAAUCGGCGAAAGCCUGAUCCAGCCAUGCCGCGUGUCUGAAGAAGGCCUUCGGGUUGUAAAGGACUUUUGUCAGGGAGGAAAUCCCUAGUGCUAAUAACACUGGGGGAUGACAGUACCUGAAGAAUAAGCACCGGCUAACUACGUGCCAGCCGCCGCCGUAA
RNAcentral lists this ribosomal RNA (500 nucleotides) under uncultured bacterium. RNAcentral's name for it is "partial 16S ribosomal RNA". It matches the Rfam family "Bacterial small subunit ribosomal RNA", at positions 30 to 523 of the family's 1533-position model. The record is from RNAcentral.